RNAcentral lists this ribosomal RNA (409 nucleotides) under Acidobacteriota bacterium. RNAcentral's name for it is "Acidobacteria bacterium partial 16S ribosomal RNA". It matches the Rfam family "Bacterial small subunit ribosomal RNA", at positions 355 to 776 of the family's 1533-position model. The record is from RNAcentral. Lineage: Bacteria; Pseudomonadati; Acidobacteriota.
UGGGGAAUAUUGCACAAUGGGCGAAAGCCUGAUGCAGCGACGCCGCGUGAGGGAUGACGGCCUUCGGGUUGUAAACCUCUUUCAGCAGGGACGAAGCGCAAGUGACGGUACCUGCAGAAGAAGCACCGGCUAACUACGUGCCAGCAGGCGCGGUAAUACGUAGGGUGCAAGCGUUGUCCGGAAUUACUGGGCGUAAAGAGUUCGUAGGCGGUUUGUCGCGUCGUUUGUGAAAACCGGCAGCUCAACUGCUGGCUUGCAGGCGAUACGGGGAGACUUGAGUACUGCAGGGGAGACUGGAAUUCCUGGUGUAGCGGUGAAAUGCGCAGAUAUCAGGAGGAACACCGGUGGCGAAGGCGGGUCUCUGGGCAGUAACUGACGCUGAGGAACGAAAGCGUGGGUAGCGAACAGG